UCCCAUGAUCCCACCUACCCAUUGAUCUCUCCCUCCCUCUUCUCUCUAUCCACCGUGACUGCAGCGCCCAUCGGUCUCUCCUUCUUCUGCUUCAUCCUCUUUCUCUCCCACCCUCUCUUCUCCCACUGCAGCCGCCUACAACCUCGUUCUCCACCGCGCUUCCGGUCCCGGCCGCCGCCGCCGCGCAGGAGGGCGCCGACUCCUUCUCUCCCGCCAACCCCGCCCCCCUUCUCUCCCUCCUCUCCUCUCUCUCCGCCGGCCACGGCCUGCUGCUCCCCAUCGGCUUCCGUGCGCCGGCCUGCUGCUCCCCGCCGACCGACCUCCUCCGACGACGCCGCUCCUCCGAAGAUGGUCCCUGACGCCACCGACCACCCGACCACGCGCAGAUCCGCCCCCCAUCGGCCUCCCCGCCGGUGGAUCCACAAUCCCCGAGCACGUCCACCACCGGAUCCACGUCCAAAACCCCGCGCGGCGCUGGAUCCGCCGCCCCCGAGCACACCUGCCGCCAGAUCCGCCUCCGUCGAUCUUGAUUUCUCUGUGGCCGGCUCUCGAGAAGCAAUUUUGGCAAGCGUGGCGAGCAGAUUUAAUUCGGUGAUUUGUUUGGGUAUAAAUUUGUAUAUAGGAUCUGUAUGCAUCUCUACUGCUGGAUUUACUGAUUGUUGUGGUGUCCAAAAUACGCUUAUAUACAUAUUUGCUUUGAUUUGUGAUUUGGUGAACCGAUGAACUCGCGGGCCGUGUGGCGUGCCUUUUUUUAAAAAAUGUAAAAA
This is a long non-coding RNA of Brachypodium distachyon (stiff brome), 767 nucleotides long. RefSeq lists it as uncharacterized. The record is from RefSeq and is a predicted model, not a curated record. The transcript has 2 exons. NCBI's taxonomy places the organism in Eukaryota, Viridiplantae, Streptophyta, Magnoliopsida, Poales, Poaceae.